Molecule: ribosomal RNA, 497 nt
Filed under: uncultured bacterium
Lineage: Bacteria
Description: partial 16S ribosomal RNA
Rfam family: Bacterial small subunit ribosomal RNA
Source: RNAcentral
GAUGAACGCUGGCGGCGUGCCUAAUACAUGCAAGUCGAGCGAACGGACGAGAAGCUUGCUUCUCUGAUGUUAGCGGCGGACGGGUGAGUAACACGUGGAUAACCUACCUAUAAGACUGGGAUAACUUCGGGAAACCGGAGCUAAUACCGGAUAAUAUUUUGAACCGCAUGGGUCAAAAGUGAAAGACGGUCUUGCUGUCUCUUAUAGAUGGAUCCGCGCUGCAUUAGGUAGUUGGUAAGGUAAAGGCGUACCACGGCGACGAUGCAUAGACGAGCUGAGGGGGUGAUCGGCCACAUUGGAACUGAGACACCGUCCAUACUCCUGCGGUAGGCAGCAGUCGGGAAUCUUCCGCAAUGGGCGAGAGCCUUACGGAGCAACGCCGCGUGUGUGGUGAAGGUCUUCGGAUCGUAAAACUCUGUUAUUAGGUAAGAACAUAUUUGUAAGUAACUGUGCACAUCUUGACGGUACCUAAUCAGAAAGCCACGGCUAACUACGUG